AGAUGCAUUACUGGGCAAUUCCUCUUUUGGCAGAAGUUGAAAUGCAUGGCGGCCUCUUAAUGGAUCGAUCAAUAUUUGAUGCAUGUGGUUCAAAUAGCGGCCCAAUUUGUAUUACUAGUUCUGCCGAAGGAGAUUUGCCCGGCAAUUCAUCU
RNAcentral lists this microRNA precursor (152 nucleotides) under Macleaya cordata. RNAcentral describes it as "mir-399 microRNA precursor family". It matches the Rfam family "mir-399 microRNA precursor family". Rfam says of the family: mir-399 was identified in both Arabidopsis thaliana and Oryza sativa computationally and was later experimentally verified. mir-399 is thought to target mRNAs coding for a phosphatase transporter. The mature sequence is excised from the 3' arm of the hairpin. Lineage: Eukaryota; Viridiplantae; Streptophyta; Magnoliopsida; Ranunculales; Papaveraceae. The record is from Rfam by way of RNAcentral.